GCCUUCAUAGCUCAGUGGUAGAGCGUUCCACUCGUACCCAAGGUGUGUCAUGGAAAGGUCUGGUGUUCAAUCCACCAUGGAGGCA
Molecule: transfer RNA, 85 nt
Filed under: Puccinia coronata f. sp. avenae
Lineage: Eukaryota; Fungi; Basidiomycota; Pucciniomycetes; Pucciniales; Pucciniaceae
Rfam family: tRNA
About the family: Transfer RNA (tRNA) molecules are approximately 80 nucleotides in length. Their secondary structure includes four short double-helical elements and three loops (D, anti-codon, and T loops). Further hydrogen bonds mediate the characteristic L-shaped molecular structure. tRNAs have two regions of fundamental functional importance: the anti-codon, which is responsible for specific mRNA codon recognition, and the 3' end, to which the tRNAs corresponding amino acid is attached (by aminoacyl-tRNA synthetases). tRNAs cope with the degeneracy of the genetic code in two manners: having more than one tRNA (with a specific anti-codon) for a particular amino acid; and 'wobble' base-pairing, i.e. permitting non-standard base-pairing at the 3rd anti-codon position.
Source: Rfam by way of RNAcentral